AAUAGAUACCCCGGUAGUCCAUGCCGUAAACGAUGUCUACUAGCCGUUGGGGCCCUUGAGGCUUUAGUGGCGCAGCUAACGCGAUAAGUAGACCGCCUGGGGAGUACGGUCGCAAGACUAAAACUCAAAUGAAUUGACGGGGGCCCGCACAAGCGGUGGAGCAUGUGGUUUAAUUCGAUGCAACGCGAAGAACCUUACCUGGCCUUGACAUACAGAGAACUUUCCAGAGAUGGAUUGGUGCCUUCGGGAACUCUGAUACAGGUGCUGCAUGGCUGUCGUCAGCUCGUGUCGUGAGAUGUUGGGUUAAGUCCCGCAACGAGCGCAACCCUUUUCCUUAUUUGCCAGCACUUCGGGUGGGAACUUUAAGGAUACUGCCAGUGACAAACUGGAGGAAGGCGGGGACGACGUCAAGUCAUCAUGGCCCUUACGGCCAGGGCUACACACGUGCUACAAUGAUCGGUACAAAGGGUUGCUACUGCGCGAGCAGAUGCUAAUCUCAAAAAGCCGAUCGUAGUCCGGAUCGC
RNAcentral lists this ribosomal RNA (524 nucleotides) under uncultured bacterium. Its description in RNAcentral is "bacterial SSU rRNA". It matches the Rfam family "Bacterial small subunit ribosomal RNA", at positions 777 to 1301 of the family's 1533-position model. The record is from RNAcentral.